Molecule: long non-coding RNA, 3363 nt
Organism: Solanum pennellii
Lineage: Eukaryota; Viridiplantae; Streptophyta; Magnoliopsida; Solanales; Solanaceae
Exons: 2
Source: RefSeq, a predicted model, not a curated record
AACCAAGUCCAAUCCAAUAUGAAUACCACAGAUCAUACAAGUAAUUAUUGUGUUGGAAAGAGCUAUUGGACCGAGAACAAGCAAUAGGGCCAGGUUAAUUUGGGACCCGGCCGGUUGAGUAGUGGCCAUGAAAUUGUUCCAUCAAAAAGGAUGGAUGAUAUGUUAUUUAGAGAUUAUGAAAAUUAUGAAGAAAAGAGUGUUUCCUGUCAUCUCCCUUCUUAGUCUAAGCUUCCCAUCUCCUUCCAUCUAGCCCUAUAUUUUCUGAUCUUCUUUCCAUUCGGUUAUCGUUACUCAGUUUCGUUGUAAGGAAGUUAGUCAUUUCCAUUUCUCUAUUGUAUUUCAUGUUCUUAAUCUAUUAUAGUAUAUAUCCUCUUGUGAGGUAACUUGAGUUGUUACAUUUGGUGCUUUCAUUGACGUACUAUAACGGUAGUGAUGAUAUUAGAUCGAUUUAGUGGUGACGGUAAUCCAGAUGAUUGGAUUUAUAGGACAGAGCAGUACUUCACUUUUCCGUCUGAAGAAAAGUGGCUACCUCUUCCUUAUAUCUCGAUGGUGAGGCCCUCGAAUGGUUCCGAUGUAUCGCAACAAACAAUUUGAUUGGACCCAUUUCAAGGUGAAAUUAGCCUUGGUUUUCCGCAACAAAUGUAUGCAAAGCCUCUUGUGAGGGAUGCUCGAAUUUCCAAUAUUUUAGCUUUACUUCAGAAGAUUGAGAACAAAUGUAGGCUUAUGUGAGUAUUAGUGCUGCUACAAUCUUUCACAAAGAGAUUUCUUCUCCUUGUUCAAAGAAAACUCAAGCCCUGUGGAUAAUGAGGACCAUCCGGACACUUUUAUCAAUGACCUUUCAGGUAAUGUGGACAAUAUGUUCGAUGAAAUGUCUACAAGAGUUUUCACCAAAGAAGUGGGGGGAACUUCCUCUACCUCUAGCUUUGAAGCUAUUUGGACGAUAUUCAGUCACGUAAGGUGUUCGAGGAAUGUUUUCCUAGUUUUUGCCCCAUGGUAGUCGCAGAGGUGCAACCCGAUACUCCAAACAAAAUGCUUGAUGAAGCAGCAUCAGGCCCUCAGCACAGUGAAGCCCAACUAUUCAAUGAAUGUUCUCCAAAAGAUAUGCCAAAGAGAAAUGCAACAAAUCUUUGUGUAUGGGAUCCAUUGGUUAUACAGUGAACACGAAGCCACUACUAUUAUUGGGCUCUGCUGGUGCAGUUGGCUUCAUUGCUUAUGCUAACUCUAUGACUCAAGCGUGGGAUCUCGGACAACAAAGGUGUAUGCAUUCUUCCAUUUUGCUAUCUGUUCUUCCAUUGACAGUUAUUACUUCAUUAAAUUUUUGGUUUCAGAACAUUUUUGCUAUGUGGGCUGUUGUAGACGAGAUUGUAUUACCGGAAUCAAAAGUGCAUGAUUCAUACGAUCCGAGGUGAAUCAUAUGUUUGAUGAUAGUUCCCAAAGAGUUACAUCCUAGGAGAUACAACCAAUUGCACCUAUAGAUAUUAUACGUCCCAAUUUAUUUCGAUUCCUACAACGACUAUUAGCACAACUCAUAGGAGGUGAUUUCUCUUUACGAUAGAAAAUAAGUGAGAAGGCUAGUUAGUGCACUAAAAUUGGCACCAGAGGGGAAACAAGUUACACCAAUUGUUUGUAUUGCUUGGAUACAAGGCUGCAUUAAGUCUAUGACAAACUUGAUUGAGCAGGAGUUGCGUAAUUUCUCUACGCUUGAGGAGAUCAUGGUUCUCUUUGGCACUCAGGGUGUACCAUCUACUUAUACUAUAGGUCCUAACCUUGAAUUUGAGUAUAAUCUUGUUGGAUAUGGUGCUGAUGAAUUCCUUAUGUUAAUAAUGCAUGACAUCUUGGAUCCUGGUGAUAAAAUUAUUGAGUUCUCUCCCAUUUUCUCACUAUAUGAAUUGGCUGCACUACAAACUUAUGAAAAUGAUAAUUGGAGUUUUAUAGUGAUGGAAAGUGAGCUUGAGUUGGUGAAAAAUGCUUCAAUUGUUGAUGUUAUGUUGUUCACAAGUCAAUGCUCGAUGACAGUAAAAGCACUUCUAUAUUGAGUAGUUGUGGGAAGUUUAUAACUACAACGAGUCUUAUGUAUUAUAUUGCCCAUAUCGGUGGCCAUAGACGUGAUGAAGAGCGCACUGUAGCACAACCAACUCAGCUCGCAAAGCUUAGAAAAAUAUUUGAUGCAGCCAUGGGACCAUCUCUCCUCACAAGAUCUGAGUUUUCCUUGUCAUAAUACUUGAGCAGAACCAUCGUUGUUUCUAUCUUCUCUGUGAAACACCCAUGGAGAUAAACAAGAAGUGUAUAUUGAGGUAUCCUGAAUCAUUUUCCUAUCUCCAACAAUCUCAUUUCUAUGAAAUAGCUUGUAUUACUGAUGCUCAUGACUCUUUUCAUAUAAAGAGGUAAGGAAAAUUGUUGGGCUUAGCAAAAGAGAGCAGCUGAAAACUUUUACAAUUGUGGCAUUUGUUAUGAUUCUUGGUAAUAUGGAUUGCUCUAAAGGAAAUGAAAUUGUUUCCUCAAUUCUGCAAGUUGACUGCGUGUUUUGUUUCAACUCCGCACCACUGUCGCACCUCUCCACACACACUCGUCUUGAAAGAUUCAAUAUUAUACUGUUCAUGUGGCUCUACUCGAACCUUGAGGACAAGGUUCUUAUUGAGGACGGGAGUUUUGUUAUUAACCAAGUCCAACCCAAUAUGAAUACCAAGGUCACACAAUUAGUUAUUGGGCUGGAAAGAGCUAUUGAGCCGAGAACAAGCAACAGGGCCAGGUUAAUUUGGGACCAAGUUGAGUAUUGGGAAUGAAACGGUUCCAUCAAAAAAGAUAGUGAUAUGUGAUUUAGGGAUUAUGCAAGUCGUGAAGAAAAGAGAUUGUUUCCUCUCAUCUCCCUUCUUAGUCUAAGCUUCACAUCUCCUUCUAUCUAGCUCUAUAUUUUCUGAUCUUCUUUCCCUUCGGUUAUCUUUUCUUAGUUUCGUUGCAAGGAAGUUAGUCAUUUCCAUUUCUCUAUUGUAUUUCGUAUUCUUCAUCUAUUAUAAUAUAUAUCCUCUUGUGUAGUAACUUGAGUUGUUACACACACCCUCAAAGACACCUCUACAAGUAAACUGAUAUUAUGGAUGGGCCUAGACCAGUAUUGGCAAAGCAGCCCAACACCGGAUUAAGUGGCUAUGUGUGGGAUACGGGUUGAUAAAUAGAGAUUUAGGAGAGCAAAAUAGGUUUAUGUGAAUUGUCAUUGUGCUUAGGCAAAGAUUGUGCCUCUCAUCCCCAAUUCUCUCUUAGUCCCUCAUAUCCUUUUCCUUUAUAGAUACUUUUAUCGUUUGUGUUGUUAAUAUUGUAAUUGCUCAUUAAUUAUGUAUGAAUCAAAACUUAUUAUCUUGUUCUCUCUGU